UUCUUCCCUCCUCCGAACACACCUCACCGGAAAAACAAACGGGCCACGUACCUCCCUCUCACCCCACGACACACCUGCAAUUUCCGAUCUGCUAUACAUCGCCGGAGAAGAAACCGAACUCGCCGGGAACUUGCUCCUACGCCGGAACCACCACCAGCCACCGCCGGGCCGCAACUGCCGGGUAAUUCUCUUGUGCACAUCCUCUUUGGAAAAUCCCUGAUCCUUUAUCUUUCCAAGAAAUACGCAACGCAACCUAAGGUGAGUAUACAUGACCCAUUUUCGCUUUACACUUUUUGGGUUGAUUGAUCAAGAUACAAGAAAACAAGCUAGGAUGGCUUAG
RNAcentral lists this long non-coding RNA (340 nucleotides) under Helianthus annuus (common sunflower). RNAcentral describes it as "hypothetical non coding rna". The record is from RNAcentral. Lineage: Eukaryota; Viridiplantae; Streptophyta; Magnoliopsida; Asterales; Asteraceae.